UGAGCUGGAGUCCAGCCAGUUCUUACUCUCAAUGUGGCUGUGAUGAUGAGAAAAAGGACCCUAGAAUGGUACAUAUGCAGCAGAGGAACUUGCUGGAGGCUUCAGAUAGAUGACUGCUUUUCUCAUUUAGAGUGGUGACUGGAAGGCAAGGAAGACCAUGUGAGGAAUGCUGGUGUGUUGGUAACUGUGAGCAUCAGAAGUAUCUAUUACUGCACGUGAUUGUAUGACAGAUGCUCCUCCCCACUCCUAACAGCUCAAAACCCCUUAGCCAUUAACAGCAGUCAAUUCGUCAAUUCCCUCAUUGCAGAAGCAGGAGGAUUUGAAGGUGAUCCACAUCUCAGCAGCUCCAGGAACAGAAGAGAAGCCUGCAAAGCCAGGUGUGGAGAAUUUUAAGAGUGUCUCAUUACUGACCACUAAUUAAAUCUAAUGUGAAAGAAAUGUUGGAUGAAAUCCUGCCGACUCUGGAGUUCCUGGCAAAGCUCCUGUUGACUUCAGCAGAACUCAGAUUUUGCUUUUGGGGGUUUUGUUUGUCUCUGAAGAUGAUCAUUAUAAUAAUUUAUUAUCUUGUGGCAUCUGGGAUCUCCAGUUAAAGCUCAGGCCUCGUGGCACUGGGUAAGUAAACAGGCUAUUUGAGUUUUAGAUCAUUACACUCAAUGUGACAAGCAGAAGUUACUGUUUGAAACGACUAGGCAAGGUGGCAAGAGGAAGCUGACCCUGACACUAACAAAGUUUGUCAUAAUGGUGAAUAGGUUACUAGAAAACAUACCAUAGUGCUUUCCUGUCACCGUGGGCAAAGCAUUCAGAAGUGCCUGCCCAUGACCAAAUGAUUUCUUCUUGAGGCAGCCAGACCUCUUUGAGGGCAGAGUCUUUUAAGAAUGCUUGUUGAGAUUUAGAAGGAUCAUCACUCCUGUAUGAGAAGAUCUUGGUGCUUUAUACAAGGGCCACAUAUCCUAGACAAUGCUGGGUGGAGAGUCAUGUCCAGGUGUUAUCCAUACAUACAGAUGUUGUGACAGGAGUUGGGGCACGUGCAAGAGGGAUCUGUAGUAACAUCCACAGCACAAAGCAGA
Long non-coding RNA from Pogoniulus pusillus (Red-fronted tinkerbird), 1067 nucleotides. RefSeq lists it as uncharacterized. The record is from RefSeq and is a predicted model, not a curated record. NCBI's taxonomy places the organism in Eukaryota, Metazoa, Chordata, Aves, Piciformes, Lybiidae. The transcript has 4 exons.